GCCAGCGUGACUAGACACAGAAUGCUGUUACCUUCCGAUUGUGGUGGUACCUACUUGCAUUUUUACAUGCUUUCAAACUGCUAGGUUGGCAGGAAUUAAAACCAUACAACCCCCCUAUAUAUUAAAUAUAUAUAUAUUAAAUAAAAUAAAUAAUAAUACCAGUAUCAUCUGGUUAGAUGGGUUUAGUUGGAUUCUAGUUGGAUUCUCAUAUUUUCUUGUACCUAUUUUCACAAUCAGCUGGCCUAGAAUCAGUUCCAGUCUCCCUCCCACACUUUGCCUGCCCCACUAUUGUGACAUCACAGAGACCCACACUCUGGACUCAAAUUUUUCCCCUAACAUCCCAGGGAAUGAGAUACUGCUGCCUGAACAGCUGGAGACAGUCACCUCACUCUCCCUGAUGGGUAAAGACUGUUCCUGCUGCUCUAGGCUUCAGCUCUGA
Molecule: long non-coding RNA, 439 nt
Filed under: Pogona vitticeps (central bearded dragon)
Lineage: Eukaryota; Metazoa; Chordata; Lepidosauria; Squamata; Agamidae
Description: lncRNA (ENSPVIG00000002583.1)
Source: RNAcentral